GGGUGUGUAAGCGCUGCGAGGCGUUGAGCUAACCAAUACUAAUUGCCCGUGAGGCUUAACCAUACAACACCGAAGGGGUUUUGU
This 84-nucleotide ribosomal RNA is filed under the name Vibrio sp. V09_P4A23P171. Its description in RNAcentral is "partial 23S ribosomal RNA". Lineage: Bacteria; Pseudomonadati; Pseudomonadota; Gammaproteobacteria; Vibrionales; Vibrionaceae. The record is from RNAcentral.